Molecule: long non-coding RNA, 2973 nt
Organism: Acanthopagrus latus (yellowfin seabream)
Lineage: Eukaryota; Metazoa; Chordata; Actinopteri; Spariformes; Sparidae
Exons: 3
Source: RefSeq, a predicted model, not a curated record
GGGGGCACUUACAACCCAGGAAAAAAAUGACAAAUUACUUAAUCAGACAUGGGAUAAACGGGACUUAAUUUCAACAAUUUUGAUUGGGUAGUAAACUGCUGAGACACCUUAUUUUCACAUUUCCCUUCAGUACAAAAUCAUUGCAAGAAAUCUGUCAUUGUAUUAUUGAUGGAGACUCCCUGUCAGGGGGGCCACAGGGGGGUCUGGACUCAGAGUUACAGGGGCACUGGCCCCUGUUGGUACCCCCCUAGAACCGCCCCUGAUGGAAGGUGACCUUUUUUUAAAUAAUCAAUUGUAUCAAUAAUAAUGACAGGCCUAUCUAUUAUCUAUAUCUGUUGAUUGAAGUGUGAAGUGAAGAUUUUAUGGAUAGACUGCAUCAAGAGUGUGUAGGGUAGCAGCUAGCUACACACGGACAUCCACAGGAACAUCCAUAGAUUUCAAUUCCAGUUUGUUGUCCUUGUGUAUCUCUCGCAUACCAGUGUUCUGUUCAAGUAUCCCAUUUCAAUUCACAUUUUUUUUUUGUGUUUCUCUCAUAUAUCUCCACUUAAAGUAGCUUGUUUCUUAAGGUGUGUCAUUUGAGGUGGGGGGUGGGCUCUGCAGUGAUUGGCUCUGGUGUGCAUGUGGCUAUGGUGUCUAUGGUUGACAAUGCUGGUGGAAUUCGCAAAUCAUUUGUUAAAUCCGCCUCAUGUCAUUAUUCAUUAUUCUUUUUUCUAUUUAUUUUCUUUUUUGUUUGUAUCUUUUUUAUGUAUUCCUUGUUUUGUUUUCACACAGAUACACACACACAUACACGGCUGGCCGACUGUUAGGUUGAUGGAGAAGCGUCCUUCCUCCUGUCAUGCCUCCCGACUGUCCUACUGACUCUUUCUCACAUUUCUGCCCUAAAAACAACGUCUGUCACCGACAAAAAAAAACAAAAAAACACCUAGUGUUUGUGAUGAAAAUAAAUCAGCCCUCAGCCUCUGUCCCCGCGAGUGAGUCAGACAGCAUCAAGUUUACUGAUGACGAUCAUGAAAUUAUGUAAUUUUGAGCGAAAAACCUAACUUUGUCACUUUCCAGGAUAUUUGGUGAGUCAGUAUCUUAAUCACUGCACAUUGUAACAGCAUCCAUAUGAUUUUAAACUGUCCGCGGGUUUUGAUUGACAGGGGACACCGGAGGGAACACCGAACCCCGGCUGGCUGGCCAUCGGUCCUUUUCUUUGUGCCAGACUUAACUCUGUGUCUUGAGUUAUCGUUAAGCCACCGCAGCUGCAUCUUUUUGAUAAUGCCGCUCGGGUAGAGAUUGAGGAAGAGACGUCGCCUGCAUCUGUGCAGUGCGACCUGAUGCAGCACCUGAAAUGAGACUCAGGAAACAGAAAUAUUGCAAAAUAAUAAUAAUAGCGAGACAAAAUAACGUUAUGACAUUUCGUCUUGUCUCGUUUUGGUCAACGAAAAUCAAGAGAUACUUUAGCAGAGUUUUUAUUUUGUAAACCACAUUUAGUCCCGUUUUUAUUCGUCAGCAAUAUUGCAUUAUAUAUUUGAUUAUAGUUUUCGUCACAUGACCACUAUUUACGUUGUGUCUCGUUUCCUCCGUUCGAUAAAUGUUCGUUGACGAUGGUAUUUAGUCAUAAUUUUUGUUGACGAAAGCAACACUACUCUGAUCCUGAUCUGCAUAGAUAUUUGAGGCACACACACACACAGAUAGACCGACAGACAGAGCUGUCUUGUUUUUAUAGAGAGAUGUCAUUCACCCACUCAGGUGAGUCCAAGGCCAUGAUGAAUCUGUCUCCACUGUCUGGGGCCCAUCUGUAGGUAGGAUUUAAUUUAAACAGCUUACUGGGUUCCCUUUUUGAGUCACUCAUUUGAUCUGAGAGUUUAAAGAACAUCUUUAUUUGGUUGUGGUCUGAACGGGGGGAUAGCUGUCUGACAGUGAAUGCAAUGAUAGUGGAGAGCUCCAUGUCAGUGAUUGCACAGUCUAUUACACUAGACCCAAGAGCUGAGGAGUAUGUGAAUCUCCUUAAAGAGUCCCCUCUGAGCCUACCAUUAACUACGUACAGGCCUAGGCCUGUCAGAGAUGCACCAUCUCCCUGCCACUUUGAUUUAUUUCAGACUCAAGGUUGUUCCGACAGGUGAUGGUUGGUGUGGUAAAAAGGGGGGCCUGACCAAAUACAUGGUUGUUGCUCUGUGGAUCCAUGACAUCAGGUUCAAUUCCUGUUCUCCUUUCAGAUCUCCAGUAAGAAGCAUGUUUCCCUGAGCCUGGAAGUAGGCAAUUUCUGAAUGGAGAGUGUCAAAAAUGUUUUCUUCAAAAAAAGGAGAAUCUACUGGGGUGAUAUCUGACGGCAAAGAUUUCCUUUAUACCACACCAAGAUCCCCCCCGAUGAUCUACAGAGGGCACCAUGACUUCAUUAUAUCCUUGGAGGACAGUCACUUGCCCUUCCUCUUGUAUCCCUGGUCUGACGUCAUCCCUAAUUCCUGAUUGUUUUCACCUGUGUUCCCUUCCCCCAUGUGUAUAAAGUCUUUGUCUUCCCCUGUCUGCAUCGCCAAAGUAUUUCGUCUUCCAUGUCAUGUACCGAAGCCCUGAUCCACAGUUUUGUUCCUAGUCCUGAUAAGUAUUGUUCUUGUUUUAUUUAUCUGAAUUUUGUCCUCUUGAAAAGAGUGAUUUUGAGUUUGUACUUUUCUGGUUAGGUUUUGUGUUUUGCAUUUUGAGAUUUCAUAGCUUUUCUUUUCUCCUCCUUGUGAGCGAUUUUUUGUUAAGUUUGAUAAGAAAGAGUAGAUAUUUUUCAUAGCCUUUGCGCUUCCUCUUCGGAGUGAUUUUGUUUUGUAAUUUUGAUACUUUACUACAUUUCAAGAAUAGAGUAGGUUUUCCUCCUGCGGGAGCAUUUUGUGUUCUGUGUUUCAUAUUGUUUGUCUUGUACGUCUUCUAGAUUUUCAUAGCCAUUCUGUUAUCAUUCGUUCUGAAGACUUGCAAAAACAGAUUAAUAAAACUUGACAUUACUUC